GCCAUACAAGACGUUAACAAAAGAGGAAGCUGGGUAAAGUGUAUUCAUGAAUUCUGCACUAUUUUGCAACUCUUAGAAAUUUGGACUGGGCUGUGUGCUUCUCCUAUACCAUUCUCCAGCUACUUCUGGAUGAAGAGGAAGGGAAUGGAGGUCUUGAAAGGUGGAAGAGUCAUGCUGAAAUGUUAGCUGCAUAUCAGACCCAGAAAAUACAGCAAGUUUUUUGGCUGGGCGCAGCGGCUCAGGAGGAGGGCGCCCGGGAAAUACCUGCUGCGUGAAUGAAUAAAUGAAUGAAAUGCUUGGGCCCUGGGAAAUGCUUGGGCCCGCGGCCGCCUGACCACGCGGGCUGGAGGAUCGGACGUACCGCCGGUGCCCCACCAGGAGACGAAGGCAUGGUUGGGAUGCGCAGCCCUCCCACGAGGCCCAUGGCGCCCCAGGGCCCUAGGGAUUGACCGGGACCCCCGACUGGCAGAGUCCACCUGCUUGAUACACUUAUUUGAGAAGGGAGGCCUGGGACUAUCUUACUCCUUUUAGGAAAACCCAACUGUAGCUGCUAUUCCUUUGGUUCAGGCCGCAAGGAAGAAUUGUAGGUUACCAUGAAUCCAUGAACCCCUCUUUAGUAUACAAAGUCCACUUUCAUGACGGAAGAAUUGGAAAGCUCCCUCCAGAGUUGUCAGUACUCAAUUAUUAGCAUAUAAAAAGUCAAAUUUUCCCAGGGAUUUUCAGACUUUAGAACCUGCUAGUGACCUGUGGCCUCAGCUUUCUUCCAGCCACUCUGAGUAUUGUAAAACAAAGAUAUUAUCCCAACCCUGAAGGCAGAUACCAGAUUGUACGCCAUGGUCUUCUGUUUCAAAGGGAUAAAAAAAGAAAGAAAAGAAACUGGCCAAAAAAAAAAAAAAAAAAAAAAAACCCAACAAUCUUCCUGUGACUUGCCCUCUACCCCUACCCUAGUGUGACUCAUGGCCACAUAAAUGCCCCAUCCCCAGUGGUGCUUCAGCUGUGACCCAGUGGAACCAGUGUCACCGGCUCAGCCUCCAGGUAGGGGACUGGCUUCCCAGGAGUGUAAAGCUCUGACCAGCAAUUGAGCUUCAAGGGCAAGCAGCAGUGAAUGGACCUUCAAGUCUAAGGUGGCCAACAGCUAGUGGAGCCAGGGAUUGGGAAGGUACAAGAGCAAAUCCAGUCUCUUCAUUUUACCCAGGCUCACAGAGACUAUGUGACUUGUCAUCAACUAAUCACUGGCUCAGGUGGUCCUAGAAUUCACCCUUGUGCUUUUGUAUCUUAGUCCUCUACCAGAUCACAUCACAGAGAGCUGCACAAGACUAGUUACAGAGGUGAUAUCUACUGACUGCCAGACAGUGACUUCAGAAACUGCUAGUGACUGAGCAAUGAAGUAGACGCUAUUAAUUUACUUAAUAGCGUCAAAGAAUAAAUUUAAUUCUUUGAGG
Molecule: long non-coding RNA, 1442 nt
Filed under: Homo sapiens (human)
Lineage: Eukaryota; Metazoa; Chordata; Mammalia; Primates; Hominidae
Description: HSALNT0304727
Source: RNAcentral